GCAAGUCGAGCGGAACGUCGGGAGCUUGCUCCCUUCGUUUAGCGGCGGACGGGUGAGUAACACGUGGGCAACCUGCCCUGCAGAUCGGGAUAACUCCGGGAAACCGGUGCUAAUACCGAAUAGUUUUUUGCCCCUCCUGGGGCGAAACGGAAAGACGGUUUCGGCUGUCACUGCAGGAUGGGCCCGCGGCGCAUUAGCUAGUUGGUGGGGUAACGGCCCACCAAGGCGACGAUGCGUAGCCGACCUGAGAGGGUGAUCGGCCACACUGGGACUGAGACACGGCCCAGACUCCUACGGGAGGCAGCAGUAGGGAAUCUUCCGCAAUGGACGAAAGUCUGACGGAGCAAUGCCGCGUGAGUGACGAAGGUUUUCGGAUCGUAAAACUCUGUUGUAAGGGAAGAACAAGUACCAAGUAACUACUGGUACCUUGACGGUACCUUACCAGAAAGCCACGGCUAACUACGUGCCAGCAGCCGCGGUAAUACGUAGGUGGCAAGCGUUGUCCGGAAUUAUUGGGCGUAAAGCGCGCGCAGGCGGUCCCUUAAGUCUGAUGUGAAAGCCCACGGCUCAACCGUGGAGGGUCAUUGGAAACUGGGGGACUUGAGUGCAGAAGAGGAAAGUGGAAUUCCAUGUGUAGCGGUGAAAUGCGUAGAGAUGUGGAGGAACACCAGUGGCGAAGGCGACUUUCUGGUCUGUAACUGACGCUGA
This 708-nucleotide ribosomal RNA is filed under the name Planomicrobium sp. RNAcentral's name for it is "bacterial SSU rRNA". It matches the Rfam family "Bacterial small subunit ribosomal RNA", at positions 57 to 749 of the family's 1533-position model. The record is from RNAcentral. Lineage: Bacteria; Bacillati; Bacillota; Bacilli; Caryophanales; Caryophanaceae.